This 3351-nucleotide ribosomal RNA is filed under the name Triticum aestivum (bread wheat). RNAcentral describes it as "partial small subunit ribosomal RNA". The record is from RNAcentral. Lineage: Eukaryota; Viridiplantae; Streptophyta; Magnoliopsida; Poales; Poaceae.
AUGAAAGAUGUGCUUCCCUACCACCAUGUGGACAAAUUGAAGGAGGAGGAUGCAUGGUCAUUGCUCAAGAAACAGAUAGUCUCGACAAUUGGACGUGAAAUUGAUAUGCUAAAGGAUAUUGGGUUGCAAAUCAUAGGAAAAUGUGACGGUUUGCCUCUUGCUCUCAAAAUAAUGGGGGGACUCUUGUGUCAGAAGGAUAAAACACAGCGGGAGUGGAAGAUGGUUCUGGAUGAUUCUAUGUGGUCGGUAUCUGAAAUGCCUGAAGCACUAAACCGUGCAAUAUAUUUGAGCUAUGAAGAUCUGUCUUCUUCCAUGAAACAAUGCUUCCUAUACUACUCUCUUCUCCCUAAUAAUGGAUUGUUUUGUGAUGAUGAUAUCAUUGGCAUGUGGAUUAGUGAAGGAUUUCUUCAUGGAUCCUCACACGACUUGGAAGAACUAGGAAGGAAGUACUAUAAGGAGCUGAUAUUGAGGAACCUAAUAGAGCCAAAUGUAAGAUAUGUUGAUCAAUCUAUCUGCAACAUGCAUGAUGUCGUACGCUCAUUUGCUCAAUUUGUGUCUAGAGAUGAGGCACUAGCAGCUCACAGUGGAGAAACUAAUAUUGCUAGUAAACUUAGUGCACAUCAGUUUCUUCGGCUAUCUCUAGAAAGCAAAGCAUUGGAAUCAAAUGGGUUAGACUGGAGUUCUCUACAGGCACAAAAGACAUUGAGAACACUAAUAUCAGUUGGCCACAUAAAUAUGAAGCCUAUUGAUUCUUUAGGUACUUUUCCAUGUUUACGAACUUUAUGUAUAACUUCUGCACAUGUUGUAGCAUUGCUUGAAUCUUUUCAAGAACUCAAGCACCUGAGGUACUUGUCGUUAGAAAACACGGACAUAUCUAGUCUGCCGGAUAGCAUUGGAAAGAUGAAAUUCUUGCAGUACAUUAGCCUUUUUGGAUGCCAACAAUUUGUGAAUCUUCCAGAUAGCAUUGUGAAGUUAGGGCAGCUAAGGUCUGUUAACUUCAGUGACACAAGUAUAAAUGGCAUACCAAGGGGGUUUUGUGCUCUAACAAACCUGAGGAUAGUACGUGGUUUUCCAGCCCAGGUGGAUGGUGAUUGGUGCAGCUUGGAAGAGUUGGGCCCUCUUUAUCAGCUUCGGCAUGUUGGAAUAAGGGGGCUGAAGAAUGUAACUUCUUCCUCGUCUGCAGCAAAGGUAAAGCUUGGUGAGAAGGUGCAUCUUACCGACCUAUCCUUGUAUUGUGGUAGUAGAUUGCAAGAUGAUGGGCUGAUUAAAGAGGAAGAUGGUGUCUCUCACGAAGGGCAGCAACUAAUCAAGAAGGUAUUUGAUGAGCUCUGCCCUCCGCCCGGGUUAGAAUAUCUUUACAUCAAAGGAUAUUUUGGCCGAUGGUUCCCAAGCUGGAUGAUGUCAUCAUCAGUUGUGCCCCUUGAGUGCUUGAGGAUUCUGUUCAUUGAGGACCUAACUUGCUGCACACAACUUCCUGAUGGCUUGUGUCAGUUCCCCUAUUUGGAGUUCAUUCAGAUCCGACGUGCUCCGGCCAUCAGGCGUGUUGGGCCUGAAUUCAUCCAGUCCUACCAUGGCCACGGUCCAUGUCCUUCCCAGAUGGUGGAUGCAUUUCCGAGAUUGUAUUCAAUGAACUUUAUAGUAAUGGUGGAAUGGGAGGAGUGGGAGUGGGAGGAGCAAGUCCCGGCCUUUCCUGUCUUGCAGGAACUUUUGCUAACACACUGCAAAUUGUCAUGUCUUCCUCCUGGCCUUGCCUUCCAGGCAAGAGCUUUGAAAAAAUUAUCCAUAAAAUAUGUCCAGGCUCUCACUUCUCUACAGAACUUUCCAUAUCUGGUUGACCUGGAACUGCAUAGAAACCCUGACAUGGAGAGGAUAGCCAAUCUCCCCAGACUGCAGAAGCUUAUUAUCACCCACUGCUCAAAAUUGAAGAUGUUGGAGGGUGUUCCCGCACUCCAGAGGCUCAUACUCACGGACAAAGACAUGGAAACAUUUCCAAAAUACAUGGGAGGUAUAAACCCAAGGCAUUUGGAGCUACAUUGUAGCCUAGCACUGCUCGCUUCCAUAGCCAUGGGACAAUCUGGUCCUGAGUGGGACAAGUUCAGCCAGGUUGAGCAUGUAAAGGCAUAUGCACGUGAAGGAGAUAAUUCGAAAAAAUGGUAUGCCUUGUACACAGCAACCCCCUGCAACUUGGAGACGAAUGUCAACCUCUCUGCUUUCAUGUCAAAAGGAACCUUAACUCAUUUUGAGGACACACAAAGAUUUGAGUCUGUCUUCAAAAUGACGAGAAAAACCUUUAGCUACAUCUGCAGCUUGGUUUAUGUGCCGUCACUAAAAGAUAUGAACAGCUACACCUUUGAUGAUGGGAGGUUACUGGCUUUAGAAGACCGCGUAGCCAUUGCUCUGAAAAGGUUGCACUCUAGUGAGCCAACAGAGACCAUAGGAUCCUCUGUUGGCAUGAAGGAGUCAACAGUCUUGUUGGUAACUGAGAGCUUCGCUGUUGCUGUGUGGCAGCGAGCAAGGCGCAACUUGCGCUGGACAGAGUCCAGUGAAAUGGAUAAGUUCAAGUCGAUGUUUGACAAGAUCCACAAUAUGCAUAAUUGCUGCGGUGUUAUAUGUACAACUCACAUCCCAUUUGGACCAAACUGGGACCGCGAGAAGAAUGACAGCAUCCUAGUCCAGCUCGUCAUUGAUCCAGAGAUGAGGUUCAGGAACAUUUGGUGGGGUCCGAUAAGCAGCAUGAACCAGUCGAGCAUUUUGCAUGAAUCUUAUUUGUUCAAGAAGUGCGAGGAGGGCGGUUGGCUGAAUGGCAGCAAGCUGAAGGUGGGAUUAGAUGGAUCAGAAGUCGGGGAGUACAUAAUUGGUGAUGCAGGAUACCCUCUUCUCCCGUGGCUACUCACACCUUACCAGGAAGAAGACCUCUCAGACUUCAAGGCAGAGUUCAAUAGGAGACAUUCCAGAGCCACAAAUUGUGCACUGAAAGCGCUGGCAAGGUUAAGAGACACAUGGAAGUAUCUGCAGGGAGAGCCGUCAUGCCCUGUCAAUACGGACACUCUAGUUGAAGCAAUCCAUGCUUGCUGCUACUUGCAUAACAUAGUCAUAGAUAUGGAGGAUGAUGCAGCCAUGCCGAGCAUUGAGGAUUCAUAUUACUGUGAGGACGUGCGGCAGGUCGAAAGUGAGGACGCUAUCAGGGCAAGGGAUAUGUUGUCACGAUACUUCUUGACCAGCAUGCCAUCUGAAUCAGGAGCCGGCCUGGUAGAUGCGGAGGAGGACCAUGAAGUAGCUGCAUCAGGCUCAGGGACUGAAGACAAGGCGCAGGCGCAAGCAAGACCAUCAGAGGAAGAGAUCAUUAACUGA